This 854-nucleotide ribosomal RNA is filed under the name uncultured bacterium. Its description in RNAcentral is "bacterial SSU rRNA". It matches the Rfam family "Bacterial small subunit ribosomal RNA", at positions 66 to 915 of the family's 1533-position model. The record is from RNAcentral.
ACGGUAGUCCUUCGGGAUGAGAGUGGCGAACGGGUGAGUAAUAUAUCGGAACAUAUCCGUAAGUGGGGGAUAACGUAGAGAAAUUUACGCUAAUACCGCAUAUUCCCUGAGGGGGAAAGGAGGGAAUUCGCAAGAACCUUUCGCUGACGGAGUGGCCGAUAUCGGAUUAGCUAGUAGGUGAGGUAAAGGCUCACCUAGGCGACGAUCCGUAGCGGGUCUGAGAGGAUGAUCCGCCACACUGGAACUGAGACACGGUCCAGACUCCUACGGGAGGCAGCAGUGGGGAAUUUUGGACAAUGGGCGAAAGCCUGAUCCAGCCAUACCGCGUGAGUGAAGAAGGCCUUCGGGUUGUAAAGCUCUUUCAGCCGGAAAGAAAUCCUGCUUACUAAUACUAAGUGGGGAUGACGGUACCGGAAGAAGAAGCACCGGCUAACUACGUGCCAGCAGCCGCGGUAAUACGUAGGGUGCGAGCGUUAAUCGGAAUUACUGGGCGUAAAGCGUGCGCAGGCGGUUUUAUAAGCCAGAUGUGAAAUCCCCGGGCUUAACCUGGGAACUGCAUUUGGAACUGUAAGACUAGAGUGUAGCAGAGGGGGGUAGAAUUCCACGUGUAGCAGUGAAAUGCGUAGAGAUGUGGAGGAAUACCGAUGGCGAAGCAGCCCCCUGGGCUAACACUGACGCUCAUGCACGAAAGCGUGGGGAGCAAACAGGAUUAGAUACCCUGGUAGUCCACGCUCCUAAACGAUGUCAACUAAGUGUUGGGGAAGAGAACUUCUUUAGUACCGCAGCUAAACGCGUGAAGUUGACCGCCUGGGAAGUACCGGUCCGUCAAGAUUAAAACUUCAAAGGAAUUGACG